AAUUUCCUCCUCUGGGUGUGUCAGAGGUGAAAACCUUUUGUCUUCAUCAGAUCUGAGAGACGGACUGAGAGGAACACAGAGCAGCUUCUUCUCUCCUCAAGUUUCCUCACACAUGGAGAAGAGUCUGAAGAAGAUGUGAAGAGAGUUCAGGUGUGUGUUCUGCCAUGGAUCAGUGUGAGGACAGAGAGGAGGGAGUCCCUCCCUUUCAAAGGACUCUGUGUGGAGAACAUGAGAACCAGACCACAGCUCAGAGGUCAGAGGCUGAAGUUGAACCCAGCUGUGUGUCCCUGAAGAGUGACUGGUCCAAGGAAAACAUAAUUCAUUUUAAAAUACACUGUGUGUCCCUGAAGAGUGACCGGUCCAGGAGGCAAACCAUUUCAUUUCAACCUGGAGCAGGAAGUGCUGAUGAGGGGUGAGAAUCAGUGUUUGUGUCAGGAUUCAUCAUCAGAACAGCAGCUUGAACAAAGUCAACAUGUUUCUGCAGCGUCAGCCAGCAGAGCUCCCAGGUUCUCCGUGGAGGCUCCGCCCCUCAGCAUCAAACACAUCUGGACAUCAUCUUUAUG
RNAcentral lists this long non-coding RNA (563 nucleotides) under Salarias fasciatus (jewelled blenny). Its description in RNAcentral is "lncRNA (ENSSFAG00005004164.1)". The record is from RNAcentral. Lineage: Eukaryota; Metazoa; Chordata; Actinopteri; Blenniiformes; Blenniidae.